GGCCUGCCCACUGAUAGAAGUUAAAGGGCCGCGGUAUUUUGACCGUGCGAAGGUAGCAUAAUCAUUAGUCUUUUAAUUGGAGGCUUGUAUGAAUGGUUGGACAAAAAGCAAACUGUCUCAAUUAUAUUAAUUGAAUUUAACUUUUAAGUGAAAAGGCUUAAAUGAACUAAAGGGACGAUAAGACCCUAUAAAGCUUUACAAUUAUUUGGUUAAAUUAUAAAUUGUUAGUAUAACUUAAUUUAAUUAAUAUUUGUUUCGUUGGGGCGACGAGAAUAUAAUUUUAUUUAACUGUUCUUUUGUAAUUAAUUACAGAUUUGUUUGGGUGAAAAUUGAUCCUUUAUUAAAGAUUAAAAGAUUAAGUUACUUUAGGGAUAACAGCGUAAUCUUCUUUGAGAGUCCAUAUCGACAAGAAGGGUUGCGACCUCGAUGUUGAAUUAAAGUAUCCUUAUGGUGUAGCAGUUAUAAGG
Molecule: ribosomal RNA, 467 nt
Filed under: Penaeopsis rectacuta
Lineage: Eukaryota; Metazoa; Arthropoda; Malacostraca; Decapoda; Penaeidae
Description: partial 16S ribosomal RNA
Rfam family: Bacterial large subunit ribosomal RNA
Source: RNAcentral